This 497-nucleotide ribosomal RNA is filed under the name uncultured bacterium. Its description in RNAcentral is "partial 16S ribosomal RNA". It matches the Rfam family "Bacterial small subunit ribosomal RNA", at positions 28 to 507 of the family's 1533-position model. The record is from RNAcentral.
GACGAACGCUGGCGGCGUGCCUAAUACAUGCAAGUAGAACGCUGAAGAGAGGAGCUUGCUCUUCUUGGAUGAGUUGCGAACGGGUGAGUAACGCGUAGGUAACCUGCCUUGUAGCGGGGGAUAACUAUUGGAAACGAUAGCUAAUACCGCAUAACAAUGGAUGACACAUGUCAUUUAUUUGAAAGGGGCAAUUGCUCCACUACAAGAUGGACUUGCGUUGUAUUAGCUAGUAGGUGAGGUAACGGCGCACCUAGGCGACGAUACAUAGCCGACCUGAGAGGGUGAGCGGCCACACUGGGACUGAGACACGGCCCAGACGCCUACGGGAGGCAGCAGGAGGGAAUCUUCGGGAAUGGGGGCAACCCUGACCGAGCAACGCCGCGUGAGGGAAGAAGGUUUUCGGAUCGUAAAGCUCUGUUGUAAGUCAAGAACGAGUGUGAGAGUGGAAAGUUCACACUGUGACGGUAGCUGACCAGAAAGGGACGGCUAACUACGUG